GAAAACGCGACUAGAGAGGAGUGAACUGUAGCUGAUUCUGUCCCUCGCGAGGCACCGUAGGUCUAGGAAACUCCAGGGCCUGAACUCUAUUUCCUGUAGUUGUUAGCAUCUCCCAUCGUGGGCUAUAGGAUCAUGACUCGGGGCCCCUGCCCUGGAACUUAGGCGAGGUUCCAGACGCCGAAAGAGGUAGUUUUAAAGAUUUUGGAAAUCGUGAGAACCCUAUAAAGUGAAUCUAGUUUGAUUCUGAGAACCCAUUGGCAUUCUGGCUUUUGUCGUUCUGUUUUAUUUAAUUGACACCAUCAUCUCUCCUGGCAUGUCGGCUUUCGGUCCCCGUCUCCGGUCCAGGCAGCGGACGCUACCACCAAGCAAGCUCAUUUUACAGAUGAGGCAACUGAGGCAAACAAGAUGAAGUGAUUUGCCCGAGGUCAUAUAGCUGGUAGGUGGCCGUGGUCACAUUUGGAUUCAAGUUUUCUUUACCCCAGUCCCGUGAGCCACUCCACAGCCACAAAACUUUAUGGUUGAAUAAUGUCCAAAGCAGGACCAUGCCCUGUCCCUUGGUAUAGCUGCCUGUCAGGACCCUGCCGGUUGAGAAGACAUUCUUUUCUCAGUGCCAGCCUCCACUUCCUUAAUAGGAUUUUGCCACUAUGAAAUCAGUCUUCUAGCAAAGCUGACUUCUCAUCCAAGAAUAAACUUCCAUUUUUCCACCCAAAA
Molecule: long non-coding RNA, 711 nt
Organism: Antechinus flavipes (yellow-footed antechinus)
Lineage: Eukaryota; Metazoa; Chordata; Mammalia; Dasyuromorphia; Dasyuridae
Exons: 3
Source: RefSeq, a predicted model, not a curated record